UACAGCGGUCCCAAGCGUUGUUCGGAUUCAUUGGGCGUAAAGGGUGCGUAGGUGGCGCCGUAAGUGGGGUGUGAAAUUUCGGAGCUUAACUCCGAAACUGCAUUCCAUACUGCGGUGCUUGAGGACUGGAGAGGAGACUGGAAUUUACGGUGUAGCAGUGAAAUGCGUAGAGAUCGUAAGGAAGACCAGUGGCGAAGGCGGGUCUCUGGACAGUUCCUGACACUGAGGCACGAAGGCCAGGGGAGCAAACGGG
This 253-nucleotide ribosomal RNA is filed under the name uncultured bacterium. Its description in RNAcentral is "partial 16S ribosomal RNA". It matches the Rfam family "Bacterial small subunit ribosomal RNA", at positions 524 to 776 of the family's 1533-position model. The record is from RNAcentral.